GAGGGAGGGGGGAGGUGCUGUGCGAGCCUGUGAGACCGAGCUGACCCGGGGUCGUGCAGAUGGGCUUUCUUCCUCCCGGAAAAAGUCACUGAUGCAGGGGUUUAAAAAAGGAAUCUGGAACCGUCAGGCUUUCGCUUUUUACAAAUGGAUAGUUUGAGAUCAUAAAAAGCCUCAGGAAUGAUCCCUGCGGAGCCUCACGCGGUGGUUUGAUGGCCGAGGGUCACCGCGAGAUAUUGCGUGUGAACCCGGAGCAGAGCCCUGGUCGGUCCCAAGGCCAGGACUUUCCUGACCUCACGGAGACGGUGGUUGCAUAUUGUUGUGUGGAGGAGGAGGUGGUGCCCGGGGAGCCCCCGGCUCUAUUGUCGAACUCAGAACGGUAUUUUUAAUCCACAUGUGUUUUAUGUUGUAGGGAGAAGAAGCUGACUACAUGAAAACAUGAAGUCAAAUAGAAGCCCACUUGUUAUUAUUUCAAGCCAGGGAAGUAAAAGUGAACCACUGCUGUCUUUACCCAGUAAUAUCCCGGGUUUUAUUACUGGAAACACCCAGUUUUUCUAAUACUCAUUAUGUCAGAAGAGAAAUCUCCUGCAAAGAAAAGACCUCGUAGAAGUUUAUCAAUCAGUAAAACUAAAAAAAAUGAGUAUAACUCCAUUAUUUCUUUUUUUAACAAUGCACCACCUGCUAAACUUGCCUGCCCUGUUUGUAGUAAAAUGGUGCCAAGGUAUGACUUAAACCAGCAUCUUGAUGAAAAGUGUGUUAGUGUUAACAGUGAUGACAUUACUCCAGUUGAUCUGAGGCAUGUUGGCUUAAUGAAUUCAGAUGUGUCCACAGUAAAUUUAACCAAUGUUGUCUUAGAAGAUGUAACACCGGGAAAGUUGUCACCGUCAAAGACGGGUUUAAUCCCUGACCAAAGUAAUUCCAUAAAAAUGGUCAAAAGACAGCAGACCAGCCCUUACUUUAAAAAUAAUGAUAAAUUGAUGUGCAAAAAUCAAGAUAAGCAGAGACAUCAUAAUGUGAAAGUCAUUACUCUGGGAAGCCUGUCAUCUAAAUUGUCCAGAAGAUACGCAGAAGCUAAAAAAUCAAUAUGUAAGAAUAAUGAGGAAUUUGCCAAUAAGAGUCCACAGAGUUCCUUAUCCACAGUGGGUAGGAACCUGGUUGACAACUGUUCAGAGAUUGAGGACAAGGAUCAAAUUUUGGAGAAUAGUUCUCAAAAGGAAAACGUAUUUACCUGUGACUCUCUUGAGGAGCAGAGAAUUUCUGAACAUAGUGUAGAAGGCACUAAAAUACUGGAAACUGAAAGCCAAAAGGCUACCCAGGAAUGUGGGCGAUCAUCCCUCACCCCUGCCUUCUCAGAUAAUGCUUCUGUGUUAUUUUCACCAGAUUUAACUCUUGGGAAUCCAGUGGAGUCUACUUCAGAGGAAAGUCUUGCAAAGUGGGAGAGUAUCACAGGAGUAGAUGAUAAAGAUGUUGAAAAAUGUGAGGCAGGUAGUUGUGAAGAAGAAAAAAUGACUGUUGCUUCAGAAGCUAAAACCCAGUUGUUAAACUGGGAGACAAAAUCUCCUAGUUCUGCACAUGAUGUUUCUAAAGGCUGUAACAUCCAUGUCCUUCCUCUGGAAGGUGAUAGUGACCUAAAGAAUGAAAUUACUUGCAGAAUUACUUCAGAGCAGGGGUCAAGCUAUGAUGUUCCUGAUGAAACAAGAACAGUACCACCAAAUCAUCCUUACUACCUUCGGAGUUUCCUGGUGGUGCUGAAAGCUGUAUUUGAGAAUGAAGAGGAUAGGAUGCUCUUCGAUGAACAUGAGAAGGAAAUUGUAACUAAAUUCUAUCAAUUAUCAGCUAGUGGUCAGAAGUUAUAUGUAAGACUUUUUCAACGUAAAUUCAGCUGGAUUAAAAUGAGUAAAUUGGAAUAUGAAGAGAUUGCCCCUGAUUUAACACCUGUGAUUGGAGAAUUGCAGCAAGCAGGCUUUCUGCAGACAGAGUCUGAGUUGCAAGAGCUCUCUGAAGUACUUGAACUGCUUUCUGCUCCUGAACUGAAAACCCUGGCAAAGGCCUUCCACUUGGUGAAUCCCAAUGGACAGAAACAGCAGCUGGUGGACAACUUCCUCAAAUUGGCCAAACAGCCUUCAGUCUGCACUUGGGGCAAGAAUCAGCCUGGAAUCGGUGCAGUGAUUUUAAAAAGAGCUAAAGCCUUGGCGGGACAGUCACUGAGAGUCUGUAAAGGUCCUCGAGCUAUUUUUUCCCGGGUCUUGCUGCUUUUUUCCCUGACGGACUCACUGGAAGAUGAGGAAGCCGCCUGUGGUGGUCAGGGACAGCUUUCGACUGUGCUUUUGGUCAAUCUUGGCCGAAUGGAGUUUCCUAGGUACACCAUCAAUCGGAAAACCCAGAUCUUCCAAGACAAAGACGAUCUCAUCAGAUAUGCAGCCGCCGCACACAUGCUGAGUGACAUUUCUACUGCAAUGGCCAAUGGGAACUGGAAAGAAGCUAAGGAGCUCUCUCAGUGUGCAAAAAGUGAUUGGAACAAACUGAAAAGCCACCCUUCCUUGAGAUACCAUGAGAAUUUACCACUCUUUCUGCGCUGUUUUACCGUUGGGUGGAUUUAUACAAGGAUUUUGUCUCGGACUGUUGAGAUACUGCAGCGACUUCACAUGUAUGAGGAAGCAGUCAAGGAACUUGAAAGCCUCUUGUCCCAGAGAGUGUAUUGUCCUGACAGCAGAGGCCGGUGGUGGGAUAGACUAGCUCUCAACUUACACCAGCACUUGAAACGCCUUGAACCGGCUAUUAAGUGCAUCACAGAAGGGCUGGCAGAUCCAGAAGUAAGAACAGGACAUCGUCUUUCACUUUAUCAGAGAGCUUUGCGCCUGAGAGAGUCUCCAAGCUGUCAAAAGUAUAGGCACCUCUUCCAUCAGCUACCAGAAAUAACCGUGGAUGAUGUUAAACAUGUGACCAUCACGGGCCGGCUGUGCCCGCAGCACGGAAUGGGCAAGUCUGUGUUUGUGAUGGAAGCUGAGGGACCCACUGCUCCUGCUAUGGUCCUGUGCUCCGUGGAGGAAGUGGCGCUGGCCUAUUACAGACGCAGUGGCUUCGACCAGGGGAUUCAUGGGGAAGGGUCCACUUUCAGCACGCUGUAUGGCCUCCUCCUGUGGGAUAUAAUCUUCAUGGAUGGGAUACCUGACGUCUUCAGAAACGCCUACCAGGUGCUCAAGUUACGCUAUGUCCGGCGUGUGCUUUUUAGGCAUUCCCAUUGGACUUGUGUACAGACAGCUUCUUCGCAAGCCGUGGGCCGGCCAUCGAGGCCAGGCUGCAGCUGAUUCACAGUGCCCCUGCGGAGAGCCUGCGAGCCUGGGUGGCAGCCGCGUGGCAGGCCCAGGAAGGCAGAGUGGCUUCCAUUGUCAGCUGGGAUCGCUUUGCUUCUCUUCAGCAAGCUCAGGAUCUUGUUUCCUGCUUGGGCGGCCCUGUCCUCAGUGGUGUGUGCAGGCGCCUGGCUGUGGACUUCCGACACUGCCGAGGUGGCCUCCCGGACCUGGUGGUGUGGAACUCCCAGAGUCAUCGUGUUAAGCUGGUGGAAGUUAAAGGCCCCAAUGAUCGCCUUUCACAUAAGCAGAUGAUCUGGUUGGAUGAGCUGCAGAAGUUGGGGGCCGAAGUAGAAGUCUGCCACGUGGUUGCAGUUGGAGCAAAGAGCAAAAGCCUUUCCUAACUAAGAGCUGUGGUGUCGGGGUGUCUGGUUGUACUUGGACUGAUUUUCAGAAGCAUAAAGCAUGAUUACAUUUUUAACUUUGAUUUUGCUUUGUCAGUAAUAAACAAGAUCAUCGUUGUACAGUGUGUGCAUCAUAAAA
This is an RNA transcript of Canis lupus familiaris (dog), 3830 nucleotides long. It is a transcript of the gene named FANCD2 and FANCI associated nuclease 1, with no coding region annotated. The transcript has 13 exons. NCBI's taxonomy places the organism in Eukaryota, Metazoa, Chordata, Mammalia, Carnivora, Canidae. The record is from RefSeq and is a predicted model, not a curated record.